GUUUGAUCCUGGCUCAGAUUGAACGCUGGCGGCAGGCUUAACACAUGCAAGUCGAGCGGUAACAGAAAUAGCUUGCUAUUUGCUGACGAGCGGCGGACGGGUGAGUAAUGCUUGGGAAUAUGCCUUAUGGUGGGGGACAACAGUUGGAAACGACUGCUAAUACCGCAUAAUGUCUACGGACCAAAGGGGGGGAUCUUCGGACCUCUCGCCAUUUGAUUAGCCCAAGUGAGAUUAGCUAGUUGGUAAGGUAAUGGCUUACCAAGGCGACGAUCUCUAGCUGGUUUGAGAGGAUGAUCAGCCACACUGGGACUGAGACACGGCCCAGACUCCUACGGGAGGCAGCAGUGGGGAAUAUUGCACAAUGGGGGAAACCCUGAUGCAGCCAUGCCGCGUGUAUGAAGAAGGCCUACGGGUUGUAAAGUACUUUCAGUUGUGAGGAAGGCAGUUAAGUUAAUAGCUUAGUUGUUUGACGUUAGCAACAGAAGAAGCACCGGCUAACUCCGUGCCAGCAGCCGCGGUAAUACGGAGGGUGCGAGCGUUAAUCGGAAUUACUGGGCGUAAAGCGCAUGCAGGUGGUCUGUUAAGCAAGAUGUGAAAGCCCGGGGCUCAACCUCGGAACAGCAUUUUGAACUGGCAGACUAGAGUACUGUAGAGGGGGGUAGAAUUUCA
RNAcentral lists this ribosomal RNA (669 nucleotides) under uncultured Vibrionaceae bacterium. RNAcentral's name for it is "bacterial SSU rRNA". It matches the Rfam family "Bacterial small subunit ribosomal RNA", at positions 11 to 671 of the family's 1533-position model. Lineage: Bacteria; Pseudomonadati; Pseudomonadota; Gammaproteobacteria; Vibrionales; Vibrionaceae. The record is from RNAcentral.